RNAcentral lists this long non-coding RNA (938 nucleotides) under Amborella trichopoda. RNAcentral describes it as "long non-coding RNA (ATRI_LNC004988)". The record is from RNAcentral. Lineage: Eukaryota; Viridiplantae; Streptophyta; Magnoliopsida; Amborellales; Amborellaceae.
CUUGAUCCAAUUGAGAAACAAAGACAAGCAAAGGGUACCCAUCGUCAUCCUAUAUCAUUAGGUUCCAGUGGAGUGCCCUUCGCCAGAUGACAAAACUACCCACAUUUUUAUUAACUUCCAAAGUCGAAAUAUGUCUUUUUUCAUUAAAAUAUGAUGAUGGAUGGGUGGCACAGGCCGGGCCACCCCUAACCCUAGCCCAGCUCUAGUCCUCAUCAAGCCGGCCCAAAAAAAGUGCUAGCCCAAGCCCAAGCCUGGCCUUAACCCCAUUAGGGCCGGGCCGAGCCACAUAAACAAGAGAAAGAUCAAAGAGAAAAAAGGGCCAGGCCGGACCAGAUUGGCAUGGCCCAAGCCCCAGCCAAGUCCUACCUCGGGCCAUGGUUGCCGGGGCACAUUUUAUCGCCAAGCUGAAGUUUUUUAGGGCCGGAUGGAGUCACCUAGCCCAUUUCCACCGUGAGAAAUUUUGUGAUUUGGCUAGCAACCAUGGCUUCCUCUUUUAAUUUAGUUACAAACAAUUACCACCAUUUCCACCAUUUUGACCAACUCCAUUGAAGAAUGGCACCAUGAUCCUUACCCCAACAGAUGGCUUCCUCGUCCAUACUCAUCACUAACAUUUACGCCAUAUCCACCAUUGGAAGCAUCUCCAUUGAAGACGUAGAAAGAUAUUGUUCAAAGAUGAAGACCCAUAGCCUGAUACUGCUCCCUGCAACAUCGUUCUCCAUGUUUUUCUCUGAAAGAGAAAGGUAAAGAGAACGAGAGAAGGAGGGUAGAGAGAAGGAGGGUAGAGAGAGGAGUGAGAAACUUUGAGUUGAGAAAGGAAGAGAGAAAAUUAGUUAGAUUUCAUAGACAGAAAAUGCCAAAAGCCAUGAGACAGAAAUUUGUAAGAGAGUAAGGAAGGCGAGUAGAGAGGAAGUCUAUGCCAUGAGAAAGAAACAAAGGCA